UACGGCGAGUGAGCGGCAACAGCUCAAAUUUGAAAUCUGGCGUCUUUGGCGUCCGAGUUGUAAUUUGCAGAGGGCGCUUUGGCAUUGGCAGCGGUCCAAGUUCCUUGGAACAGGACGUCACAGAGGGUGAGAAUCCCGUACGUGGUCGCUAGCCUUUACCGUGUAAAGCCCCUUCGACGAGUCGAGUUGUUUGGGAAUGCAGCUCUAAAUGGGAGGUAAAUUUCUUCUAAAGCUAAAUACUGGCCAGAGACCGAUAGCGCACAAGUAGAGUGAUCGAAAGAUGAAAAGCACUUUGGAAAGAGAGUUAAAAAGCACGUGAAAUUGUUGAAAGGGAAGCGCUUGCAGCCAGACUUGCCUGUAGUUGCUCAUCCGGGUUUUUACCCGGUGCACUCUUCUAUAGGCAGGCCAGCAUCAGUUUGGGCGGUUGGAUAAAGGUCUCUGUCAUGUACCUCUCUUCGGGGAGAACUUAUAGGGGAGACGACAUGCAACCAGCCUGGACUGAGGUCCGCGCAUCUGCUAGGAUGCUGGCGUAAUGGCUGUAAGCGGCCCGU
RNAcentral lists this ribosomal RNA (551 nucleotides) under fungal endophyte sp. DM158. Its description in RNAcentral is "eukaryotic LSU rRNA". It matches the Rfam family "Eukaryotic large subunit ribosomal RNA", at positions 85 to 652 of the family's 3401-position model. Lineage: Eukaryota; Fungi. The record is from RNAcentral.